UAGCAUAUCAAUAAGCGGAGGAAAAGAAACUAACAAGGAUUCCCCUAGUAACUGCGAGUGAAGCGGGAAAAGCUCAAAUUUAAAAUCUGGCGGUCUUUGGCCGUCCGAGUUGUAGUCUGGAGAAGUGCUUUCCGCGCUGGACCGUGUACAAGUCUCCUGGAACGGAGCGUCAUAGAGGGUGAGAAUCCCGUCUUUGACACGGACUACCAGUGCUCUGUGAUGCGCUCUCAAAGAGUCGAGUUGUUUGGGAAUGCAGCUCAAAAUGGGUGGUGAAUUCCAUCUAAAGCUAAAUAUUGGCGAGAGACCGAUAGCGAACAAGUACCGUGAGGGAAAGAUGAAAAGCACUUUGGAAAGAGAGUUAAACAGUACGUGAAAUUGCUGAAAGGGAAACGCUUGAAGUCAGUCGCGUCGGCCGGAACUCAGCCUUGCUUCCGCUUGGUGUACUUUCCGGUCGACGGGCCAGCAUCGAUUUCGACCGUCGGAAAAAUGCGGGGGGAAUGUGGCACCUUCGGGUGUGUUAUAGCCCCUCGUUGCAUACGACGGUUGGGAUCGAGGAUCGCAGCACGCCUUUAUGGUCGGGGUUCGCCCACGUACGUGCUUAGGAUGCUGGCGUAAUGGCUUUAAACGACCCGUCUUGAAACACGGACCAAGGAGUCUAACAUACCCGCGAGUGUUUGGGUGGAAAACCCGAGCGCGUAAUGAAAGUGAAAACCGAGACCCCUGUCAUGGGGGGCACCGGUGCCCGGACCUGAAGUUCUCUGACGGCUCCGCGGUAGAGCGUGCAUGUUGGGACCCGAAAGAUGGUGAACUAUGCCUGAAUAGGGUGAAGCCAGAGGAAACUCUGGUGGAGGCUCGUAGCGAUUCUGACGUGCAAAUCGAUCGUCAAAUUUGGGUAUAGGGGCGAAAGACUAAUCGAACCYAUCUAGUAGCUCGCUGCUGCGGA
This 943-nucleotide ribosomal RNA is filed under the name Obba rivulosa. RNAcentral's name for it is "partial large subunit ribosomal RNA". It matches the Rfam family "Eukaryotic large subunit ribosomal RNA", at positions 36 to 964 of the family's 3401-position model. The record is from RNAcentral. Lineage: Eukaryota; Fungi; Basidiomycota; Agaricomycetes; Polyporales; Gelatoporiaceae.